CUUAAAGGAAGCAGUGCUGGAGUCGGGAUGGUGGUUCUCGCUGCAAAUCUAUGAGCUGUGGCCUCCUCUGCUGAGGAGUGUGUAGAACACCAUACCAAAAGUGCCAUCAAGGGGGAAAACCUGGCUUCUGUAUUCAAGGUGAUUGCUGCCUCAUUCUGGAGGGGUAGGAGUGCUGCAUUAAUACCGAAUGAGGUAUCUUCAAAUGUAUACUAUGCAAUGCUAAUGGAAAGAGCUGGAACUGGAAGCAGGGAUGUGAUGAAGGAGGCCUGGAACCAUUUCUAUCCUGCCAUGUCUUAAUAGAAUUGGCAAAGAAUGUUUGUGUUUAUAACAAAUGGACUUUUCUUUCUGUCUUUAAUGGAGAAAAUAAACA
This 370-nucleotide long non-coding RNA is filed under the name Marmota monax (woodchuck). Lineage: Eukaryota; Metazoa; Chordata; Mammalia; Rodentia; Sciuridae. The record is from RNAcentral.